This 444-nucleotide ribosomal RNA is filed under the name uncultured bacterium. RNAcentral's name for it is "partial 16S ribosomal RNA". It matches the Rfam family "Bacterial small subunit ribosomal RNA", at positions 354 to 796 of the family's 1533-position model. The record is from RNAcentral.
GUAAGGAAUAUUGGUCAAUGGAGGCAACUCUGAACCAGCCAUGCCGCGUGCAGGAAGACGGCCCUCUGGGUUGUAAACUGCUUUUAUCUGGGAAGAAAAAGGCCAUGCGUGGCAAAUUGCCGGUACCAGAUGAAUAAGCACCGGCUAACUCCGUGCCAGCAGCCGCGGUAAUACGGAGGGUGCGAGCGUUGUCCGGAUUUAUUGGGUUUAAAGGGUGCGUAGGCGGCUGAUUAAGUCAGCGGUGAAAGACUUCGGCUUAACCGGAGCAGUGCCGUUGAUACUGGUUGGCUUGAGUGUCGGAGGGGUACAUGGAAUUGAUGGUGUAGCGGUGAAAUGCAUAGAUACCAUCAGGAACACCGAUAGCGAAGGCAUUGUACUGGCCGACAACUGACGCUGAUGCACGAAAGUGUGGGGAUCGAACAGGAUUAGAUACCCGUGUAGUCC